AAACCAAACAAACGUGUAAUAUUUUUCCUCCUCUUCCUUCCUUGCCCGUCUGGCGCUCUGGUAAAACAGCCCUGCUGCCGAGUCCCGGGAGCUUUGCAGAUCUGUCCCUCCAGAACUCCAAGGCGCUUCACCUCCUGCACGGAGCUCGCUUCUUCCCUCUCGCAUCGUUAUUUUUGCUCAGCCUGUGCCCCCGUGGCUAGAACCUGCACACACACACACAUCCCUUCCCGAGCUCCGGGUGUCCCAGCACCCGGCCUCCCCUCGGGCUGGUGCACGCCGAGCAGACCCGGGCGGCCGAGCUCCGGAGCCGGGGCCGCUCCCCGCUGCCCGCCGGGGCAGGACCGGGCCGGGCCGUGCCGGGCAGCGCGGGCAGGAGGCGGCCAGCCCGGCCCGGCCACCCCCGGGGGAAGGCGCAGAGCCGCCACUGACCUGCGGGCGCCCGGCCCGGCCGUGCCGUGCCGCGGGGGACAAAAGCAGCGCUCCCGCGGCGGCUCCGGCCGGGAGCCGGGCAGAGGCAGAGCCGGGCAGCCCGUCCCCACGGCCCCGCCACCCUCCGGGCCCCGCCGGCCGCCAUGUCGGGCGGGCGCGGCCUUGUUCCGCCCGCUCCCGGCAUGCCGCGGCGCCUACAACUCCCAGCCGCCCCCCGGCCGCCCGCCGUUAACCCNNNNNNNNNNNNNNNNNNNNNNNNNCAACACCCCCCGCCCGCCCCCGGCCCGCCCGCCGUUAACCCUCUGCGGCGCCGAGGGGGCUCCGCAGCCGCCGCCGGCCCCUCGCCACCCGCCCCGGGCCCCUCUUUUCUCCCUACGGCCGCCGCUGCCUCGUGGUGGAGCCGCCAGCGGGCUCCCGCUGGGCCCCGGCUCCUCACGGCCGCCCCCGGCCCGGCCCGGCCCGGCCCGGCCCGCGGUGCCUGCUCUUCGCGGCCCGGCCCGGCCCGGCCCAGGCGGCCGCCGGGUUCCUGUGCUCCCGCGGCGGAGCUGCCGGUCCCCGCUGCAGCUCCUGGCUACCGGCCGCGGGGCUGUGCGCUGCCCGCUGUCUGCCAGCUAA
RNAcentral lists this long non-coding RNA (1044 nucleotides) under Anser cygnoides (Swan goose). RNAcentral's name for it is "lncRNA (ENSACDG00005003040.1)". The record is from RNAcentral. Lineage: Eukaryota; Metazoa; Chordata; Aves; Anseriformes; Anatidae.